This is a non-coding RNA of Trichonephila clavipes, 64 nucleotides long. The record is from the annotation of a GenBank genome assembly. Lineage: Eukaryota; Metazoa; Arthropoda; Arachnida; Araneae; Nephilidae.
UCUGGUAUAGUGGUUAGUGAUGCUGACUGCUAUGCUGUAGGACCUGGGUUUGAAUCCCAGAGAA